This 624-nucleotide ribosomal RNA is filed under the name Trichoderma harzianum. RNAcentral's name for it is "eukaryotic LSU rRNA". The stretch from base 264 to 417 matches the Rfam family "5.8S ribosomal RNA". The record is from RNAcentral. Lineage: Eukaryota; Fungi; Ascomycota; Sordariomycetes; Hypocreales; Hypocreaceae.
UUUGGGAGUUGGUAACCCCCGGGAAUUUUUUCCCCGGGGGGGGGGAUCGGAGGGAUCAUUACCGAGUUUACAACUCCCAAACCCAAUGUGAACGUUACCAAACUGUUGCCUCGGCGGGAUCUCUGCCCCGGGUGCGUCGCAGCCCCGGACCAAGGCGCCCGCCGGAGGACCAACCAAAACUCUUUUUGUAUACCCCCUCGCGGGUUUUUUUUAUAAUCUGAGCCUUCUCGGCGCCUCUCGUAGGCGUUUCGAAAAUGAAUCAAAACUUUCAACAACGGAUCUCUUGGUUCUGGCAUCGAUGAAGAACGCAGCGAAAUGCGAUAAGUAAUGUGAAUUGCAGAAUUCAGUGAAUCAUCGAAUCUUUGAACGCACAUUGCGCCCGCCAGUAUUCUGGCGGGCAUGCCUGUCCGAGCGUCAUUUCAACCCUCGAACCCCUCCGGGGGGUCGGCGUUGGGGAUCGGCCCUCCCUUAGCGGGCGGCCGUCUCCGAAAUACAGUGGCGGUCUCGCCGCAGCCUCUCCUGCGCAGUAGUUUGCACACUCGCAUCGGGAGCGCGGCGCGUCCACAGCCGUUAAACACCCAACUUCUGAAAUGUGACCUCGGAUCAGGGAGGAUACCCCCAUUU